GGGCUUGCUUCGGCAGCACAUAUACUAAAAUUGGAACGAUACAGAGAAGAUUAACAUGGCCCCUGUGCAAGGAUGACACGCAAAUUCGUGAAGCAUUCCUUUAAAUA
Lontra canadensis (Northern American river otter) is the source of this 107-nucleotide small nuclear RNA. The record is from RefSeq and is a predicted model, not a curated record. NCBI's taxonomy places the organism in Eukaryota, Metazoa, Chordata, Mammalia, Carnivora, Mustelidae.